Molecule: transfer RNA, 73 nt
Filed under: Trichonephila inaurata madagascariensis
Lineage: Eukaryota; Metazoa; Arthropoda; Arachnida; Araneae; Nephilidae
Rfam family: tRNA
About the family: Transfer RNA (tRNA) molecules are approximately 80 nucleotides in length.
Source: Rfam by way of RNAcentral
GUCCCUGUAGGGCAAUGGACAGCACAUUGGACUUCUAAUCCAAAGGUCGUGGGUUGGAAUCCCACUUGGAAUG